RNAcentral lists this transfer RNA (69 nucleotides) under Carcharhinus amblyrhynchos (grey reef shark). RNAcentral's name for it is "tRNA-Ala". It matches the Rfam family "tRNA". Rfam says of the family: Transfer RNA (tRNA) molecules are approximately 80 nucleotides in length. Their secondary structure includes four short double-helical elements and three loops (D, anti-codon, and T loops). Lineage: Eukaryota; Metazoa; Chordata; Chondrichthyes; Carcharhiniformes; Carcharhinidae. The record is from RNAcentral.
AAGGUUUUAGCUUAAUUAAAGCAUCUGAGUUGCAUUCAGAGGAUGUGAGAUAGAGUCUUGCAAGUCUUA